UACGGGGGGGGUAAGCGUUGUUCGGAAUUACUGGGCGUAAAGGGCUCGUAGGCGGCCAACUAAGUCAUACGUGAAAUCCCUCAGCUUAACUGGGGAACUGCGUGUGAUACUGGAUGGCUUGGAUUUGGGAGAGGGAUGCGGAAUUCCAGGUGUAGCGGUGAAAUGCGCAGAUAUCAAGAGGAACACCGGUGGCGAAGGCGGUUCUCUGGGCAUGACCUGACGCUGAGGAGCGAAAGUGUGGGGAGCGAACAGG
This 253-nucleotide ribosomal RNA is filed under the name uncultured bacterium. RNAcentral's name for it is "partial 16S ribosomal RNA". It matches the Rfam family "Bacterial small subunit ribosomal RNA", at positions 524 to 776 of the family's 1533-position model. The record is from RNAcentral.